UUUGAUAUUCUUUUAAUCACAUCAUAACUUAUACUUAUAAGUUAUUCAUUUUUAUAUGUUAUCCUAGUAAAUUAGAUAACAUCUUAGUAAACCGAAAUACCAUUUCAGUAAGACGGAUUUUAUUUCAGUAUCCCGAAAUCACUAUUCUUUUUCACGAAAAAUACCAAAUCAACUUAUUAUUUUUUUAUCCUUUGGUCAAACAUAUAUACAUGUAUUUCAUACAUAAAAAAUAUUUUUCCGUAAUUUUUCAAUUUCUUUUACUAUUUUUCAAAAAUCAUAAAUAGUGCGUGACUUAAGAAAAUUAGCUACCUCGUGCUUAACUCUAGAGAUGCCCAUCUUUUGACAUAACCUUAUAUAUGUUAACGUGAUGCUCCAUUUUAAAUUUCGUGGCAAUCAGAGUUGUUGAACUCUGGUUAUAGCGAUUUCCGUCGGAAAAUCACAAAAAUUAGAAUAGUCAUAAUUUAGCCGUUUUAACUCGGAAUUAGCUCAUUUUUGGACACGAGCUACAUAAUACCACAUAUUUUCAUUUCCCGAAAGCCCGGAAUUUUUCUCACAAAAUAAAUUACCGAAAC
RNAcentral lists this long non-coding RNA (572 nucleotides) under Panax ginseng (ginseng). RNAcentral's name for it is "long non-coding RNA (PGIN_LNC003082)". Lineage: Eukaryota; Viridiplantae; Streptophyta; Magnoliopsida; Apiales; Araliaceae. The record is from RNAcentral.